AGCAGCCGCGGUAAUUCCAGCUCCAAUAGCGUAUAUUAAAGUUGUUGCAGUUAAAAAGCUCGUAGUUGAAUUUCGGGGUCAGUAGGUCGGUCGUGCCACUGGUAUGAACUGGUUUUACUGAUUCCUCCCUCUUGAAGAACUGUAAUGCCAUUAAUUUGGUGUUGCAGGGAAUCAGGACUGUUACUUUGAAAAAAUUAGAGUGUUUAAAGCAGGCUUUAGCUUGAAUACAUUAGCAUGGAAUAAUGAAAUAGGACGUUUGAUCCUAUUUUGUUGGUUUCUAGGAUUGACGUAAUGAUUAAUAGGGAUAGUUGGGGGCAUUAGUAUUCAAUUGUCAAAGGUGAGAUUCUUGGAUUUAUUGAAGACUAACUACUGCGAAAGCAUUUGCCAAGGAUGUUUUCAUUAAUCAAGAACGAAAGUUAGGGGAUCGAAGACGAUCAGAUACCGUCGUAGUCUUAACCAUAAACUAUGCCGACUAGGGAUCGGAUGAUGUUAAUUUUUUAAUGACUCAUUCGGCGCCUUACG
This 522-nucleotide ribosomal RNA is filed under the name uncultured Glomeromycotina. RNAcentral describes it as "SSU rRNA". It matches the Rfam family "Eukaryotic small subunit ribosomal RNA", at positions 569 to 1092 of the family's 1831-position model. The record is from RNAcentral. Lineage: Eukaryota; Fungi; Glomeromycota.